UGGGGGGCUAACCAUGCAAGUCGAGCGGGAUGACGGGAGCUUGCUCCUUGAUUCAGCGGCGGACGGGUGAGUAAUGCCUAGGAAUCUGCCUGGUAGUGGGGGACAACGUUUCGAAAGGAACGCUAAUACCGCAUACGUCCUACGGGAGAAAGCAGGGGACCUUCGGGCCUUGCGCUAUCAGAUGAGCCUAGGUCGGAUUAGCUAGUUGGUGGGGUAAUGGCUCACCAAGGCGACGAUCCGUAACUGGUCUGAGAGGAUGAUCAGUCACACUGGAACUGAGACACGGUCCAGACUCCUACGGGAGGCAGCAGUGGGGAAUAUUGGACAAUGGGCGAAAGCCUGAUCCAGCCAUGCCGCGUGUGUGAAGAAGGUCUUCGGAUUGUAAAGCACUUUAAGUUGGGAGGAAGGGCAGUAAGCGAAUACCUUGCUGUUUUGACGUUACCGACAGAAUAAGCACCGGCUAACUCUGUGCCAGCAGC
This 479-nucleotide ribosomal RNA is filed under the name Pseudomonas sp. RNAcentral describes it as "bacterial SSU rRNA". It matches the Rfam family "Bacterial small subunit ribosomal RNA", at positions 40 to 515 of the family's 1533-position model. The record is from RNAcentral. Lineage: Bacteria; Pseudomonadati; Pseudomonadota; Gammaproteobacteria; Pseudomonadales; Pseudomonadaceae.